Acinonyx jubatus (cheetah) is the source of this 3711-nucleotide long non-coding RNA. RefSeq lists it as uncharacterized. The record is from RefSeq and is a predicted model, not a curated record. The transcript is spliced from 2 exons. Lineage: Eukaryota; Metazoa; Chordata; Mammalia; Carnivora; Felidae.
GCAUUAGGAAGCUGAAAUGAGGUGUAAAAAGUGUUUCCGGAGAGCAGUGGUGCAUCACAAUCACGCCUGGGAGUUAAAACAGAUUCUUUGCCCCAUCCCUAGCCUUCGGGACUCAGCAGGUCUGGGGCGGGGCCUGGGAAUUUGCAUUUCUAACGAGCUUCAGGUGAUGCUUGUUGCUGCUGGUCCAGGGACCAAACUUUGAGAGCCACUGGGGUAGAGGAAACAACAGGCCAGGUCCAGAGGUGGCAGACAGCAGCGCGCUCUCCUUUGCGGAACUAUAGAAAGUUCUGUCUGGCUGUCUGGUGGAGGAAGCAGGGAGAGGUAGGCUGGACGGUCUGACCACACUCCCUCCCCCCUCCCGCCACGAUUUCGGGCCAUCCCACGCGCUGCACAGAGAAAGGAAAAGGCGACAAGUCAGCACAAACAACAGAGGGGACUUGUGAGUGACAGAGGCCUCCAAACACAGGACACGGGCAGGCAGGGCAAGCUUCACGGGCGUGUGACCUGUGCGGUCACCUAGGGCCCCUGCGCUCGGCUUAGUGCUCCGUGGUCACCAUCUUGAAGCUCUUCAUGAUUUUUUCUUAGAACCUGUGUCCUGCAAGUGAAGCCUGACAAGGGAACAGGCGGUGGGUGGAGGAGAUGACAGAGCACGUGUGUGCUCUGUCCCGACUGCCCCGCACCCACACCACGUGCGCGGUGCCCACAGCCCGGGCUUCUGGUGCAUCCGUCAUGGUGGGCAUUCGGACUCCAAGUGGUUACAAGGUGAGUACACACCUAUGACUAAGGGGCACACCGGCUGGCCCGAGAGGCCACACCCUGGCCCAAACCAGAAUUGGCUUUAAAUGCAGAAGGAAGUUAGUGGCAUUCUAAGAAACGCCAAUGACCAAGAAGCCCUGUCCAUCCUUUCUCACUCGUGUUAUUACCCUGUAUGAUCCGACCACUUCCGCUGUAAAAGAUGCUACAGAAGGAAAAGGAAAGAGGGUAACCUAUCUGUCCCAUCUUUUCUGUCCUCCCUCGCUCCUGAGUGAGCUGAAGGCCGACAGAGCUGGCAGAAUGCGUGUGUGUCAAAAGGGAUAGAAACAGGUAACUUCGUUUUGUGCGGCAUUUUCCACUGCUCGGCUAAACUCUACACUCAACAUGGGGCUUCAACUCAAGACCCUAAGAUCAAGAGUCAUAUGCUCUACUGACUGAGCCAGCCAGACACCCCUGGGUACAUUUUGAAGGUGAGCUUUGAGGAUGCAACAAAACUCGACAGGUAGAGAUGUAGGGAGGAAGGAAGGUCUGAUAGGCCCAGACAGAAGUAUAGAAAGAGCUCAGGGCUUGGGGAAGAUGGCACUGGGCCAGGUGUGGAGGGGGUGUACCAGGGUCCCAAAGGCCUGGGUGAGGGGUGUGGACUCCAUUCUGGAGGCAUUGUGCCUUGGGGAAGGAAACACUCACUCAGGGCCAUGCUUUGGAAACUACCCUGCAGCAAAGAGGCCACUGUGGAUGCUGGAGCUGUAGCUCCCCAGGGUCCCAAAGGCCUGCAGAAAGGAAACGGACCCUCUGCUCCCCUCAUGCAGGGGCUGGCGCAGCCCACUGCCUCUACCCCAGCCUUCAUUCAGGUCACAAGCAGGUGGGUCAUUUACUCAAGAAUCAUCAGCCCAGGAUUCUUGCCACUCCUUGAAAUCAAGUCAGUGGACCUUACUGGCCCCAGAGGAGGGCGUUCCUCUUGCAGAAGUGGAGCAAGCAAGGUUUGUCCCAGGGCCAGUUGGUCUUACUUAGGUUGGGAGAAUCAAGAAAGACCCUCUAUGCCUAGGAAUGAAGAGGGGGUUUGGUCAGGGAGGGUAGAAGGGCUUUGCCACCUAGGACUGUCUAUCCCCAAAGGCUGGCUACCAUCUACUUUCUCAGUUCUGUGAGACAUUCCCAGCCCUGGAUGAGCCCAGCCUUGCUCCCCAUUCACCCCUGCCCCCUGAGGCUCUGCUCAGGGCCCCAUUCUGCAACACCCCCUCAACUACCACUGAGAAGGCAAAGGGGCAAAAGGGAAACUGAGGCACGAAGUAGGUGGCACACAUGGGAGAGUCCCACACCCUUGACCCCAGCCUCCGUAGGCAUACCCUGCCACUCCCUGGGGAACUUGUCAUGCCCUGUCUCUUGCCCCCAGAUUGGGUCCCUUUCACAUGUUCCUUUCCCCUAUUCCUGCAAAGCAGCAACCAGACUCUGUUCAUAUCUGUGAUCCCACAAUCCCAACCCAGAAGAGUUAGGAGUUCAAUGAAUGAAUAAAGGGAUGUGGGAUUUCCUGAGGGGUGGGUGGACAGGAUAGGCUUGGAAAACAGGAGAAGUAAGGAAGAAAGCUCCAGAAAGAUCCUAGCUGGUGCCACCUUCGCAUCCAUUCUCCAUGCUACAGAAUGCGUGAAUGCUAACAUUUCCCAAGCACUUACUAUGAGCCAGACCUUUUGCACUUAAUAUGCACAAUUUCAUUUGAUCCUCAAAGGAUCCCCACAAGGUAGGUACUAUCACCAGGCGCAUUUUACAGAGGCCAACAACUGAGGCAUAGAGAGGCUGAGUUAUCUGUCCAGGGUCCCAUGGUUACUAAGCAACAAACCUAGGAUUCAAAAGCAGAUUUGUUGAACCCGCAUGCCAUGUGCUUCACUGUCUCCCAUGCCCUGCAGAGUCUCGAAUGUGUGUGUCUAUCUCAGGUUAGCCUGGAUCUACCCUCCGCGGUACCCAGUCAUCCCCAUCCCAAGGCAGCUGUGGUUAUGUUUGAGGAAACCUCUUUAUAAAAUUGUCAAACACUAGUGAUUACUGUUAUUAAUGAUAAUAAUUACUCUUCUCUUAGUAUUUCCAUCACCUGCUUUCCAGCCCCCAAUGGAACCUUCUAUUUGUGUUCCUCUCAGCCACACAUUUAGGGUGGAGUGUGCCCGUGAACUCUGCCCCUUCCCAUCACGGCCUGUCCCGUCACCCCCCCCUCCAUCCUUCCUGGAGGCAACCCCACAGCAGCAACACCUGCCCAUUUCCCCCAGACCAUUUCCUGCUAACACCCCCUGUCCCUCCCAGCAGCAAGCGGCCUCUCCCCCGAGGGACUGGACUAAUUGUUUCCCAGACCAUGGAGGGGCAGGGUCUGGAAUUCUGAUUCCAGGCGCGCCCUUCUGCUCUGCAAAUUUUGGGAGGUGAUCCCAAGGCAAUGGUGAAAUCCAGACACAGGAAAGCCCAACAGGAACACUGAAUUCCAAAGAAGUUCUCCGAGAAUUCCAAGUUUUGGGAUUUGGAGACUCCCAGGUCCUAAGUUCUACGAAUAUCCAAGACCUCAGGAUUCUGGGACAGCAAUCUUGGGAAUUCUUAUUUCAGGACUUCUGAUUCCAGUUCUUUGUGGAAACAUCUAUUUUCCACUUCCUCAGGCUGUUUGUAUGACUUCAGCAUUACUGAUUUUGAAAGCCAGAAGUAAAUUUUAAAAAUCCUUCCCCAAAUGGAGCUGUACAAUUCCUAGAAAUUUUGUGGGUCCCAGAUAUGAAAUUAUUUAAAUGCUUGUAAAGCUCAUUAUUUUAACACUAUUUGCAGAGCAAUGGUGACUCGGUUGGAGCAUGAUCAAGAACGUGACCAAUGUUGGGUGCCUGGCUGGCUCAGUGUUAGAGCAUGUGACUCUUGAUCUUGGGGCUGUGAGUUUGAGCCCCGAGCUCCAUGUUGGGUUUAGAGAUUACUCAAAAAUAAAUAAAUAAAUAAAUAAAUAAAUAAAUA